UGUGUAGUGGUAAACGGAGGCGUUCUCGAAGUGUCCGUGGGGGACUCAAGCUUGGUGGCGGGCAGCCGGCGCUCCUUGAUCAGCAAUGACUGGGUGUGUCGUGCAGGCUUGCCUCCCGGCCGCACUUUCCCCGCGGUUGACGGCAGGAACUGUUGGGACCGGACCAAAGGCCUGGGAUGAAGUUGCUUGCCCUCACGGGCUUGUAGCUCCCGGUGUCCUGGCUUCGGGCCCGACGGGGUAUGAGUGGACUUGUAUAGCAAGCGACAGCCUGUUGCGGUUCACAUCUCUCUGCCGAGUAGGUUGGUG
This 306-nucleotide ribosomal RNA is filed under the name Copepoda environmental sample. RNAcentral describes it as "partial 28S ribosomal RNA". The record is from RNAcentral. Lineage: Eukaryota; Metazoa; Arthropoda; Copepoda.